GGGGUUGUGGCUCAGCGGUAGAGCACUUGCCUAGCACGUGCACGAGGCACUGAGUUUGAUCCUCAGCACCACA
Molecule: transfer RNA, 73 nt
Filed under: Marmota monax (woodchuck)
Lineage: Eukaryota; Metazoa; Chordata; Mammalia; Rodentia; Sciuridae
Description: tRNA.Ala
Source: RNAcentral